This is a long non-coding RNA of Peromyscus leucopus (white-footed mouse), 564 nucleotides long. RefSeq lists it as uncharacterized. The transcript is spliced from 2 exons. NCBI's taxonomy places the organism in Eukaryota, Metazoa, Chordata, Mammalia, Rodentia, Cricetidae. The record is from RefSeq and is a predicted model, not a curated record.
GAAGUGCUGUUGUGGUGUCCCAUCACCCACGUACCUACACAGCAGAAGAUUAAGUAGCCUUGGUGGGCAGGAUGGGCGUGUCUUACUCAGGCCACUCUGCUUCCCACUUCCUCAACUAAGGAGGAACUUGAGAGUUAAAGGAAUCUACAUACCUCAGAAAAAAUAAAUCAUCGUUGCUGCUUGACAUCCGAGUCCAGCAGUGUCUCUCUGUCCCUCUCUGUCACAUCAUUUUUAUAUGCAACUUAUGGACGGGGCAAUCCCUUCUUCCCUCAGCAUUUGUCUCUGGGAGAGACAGGAAGAUGGACACCCCCUCCACCCCACCCCCCAGACAGACGUCACAAACCCUGAGGUGAAAAUGUCUCAGGAAGAAGAUACUUCACUCUCCAGGGAACUGUCAUAUGAAGAUUCAUAGCGCAAAAUUUCACUCACGUGGUCAGUUUCGCCAUUCCUGCUGGAGUUUGCAAUGGCUUUCCAUACCUAUCUUGUGACUAAUUUGGCAAUUACACAAUGUGUUCUUUGGCCAGUGUUCUUUUUGCCUUUAUGUGAAUAAAAGAAAGUUCCAAA